RNAcentral lists this ribosomal RNA (497 nucleotides) under uncultured bacterium. RNAcentral's name for it is "partial 16S ribosomal RNA". It matches the Rfam family "Bacterial small subunit ribosomal RNA", at positions 28 to 507 of the family's 1533-position model. The record is from RNAcentral.
GAUGAACGCUGGCGGCGUGCCUAAUACAUGCAAGUCGAGCGAACAGAUGAGGAGCUUGCUCCUCUGACGUUAGCGGCGGACGGGUGAGUAACACGUGGAUAACCUACCUAUAAGACUGGGAUAACUUCGGGAAACCGGAGCUAAUACCGGAUAAUAUAUUGAACCGCAUGGUUCAAUAGUGAAAGACGGUUUUGCUGUCACUUAUAGAUGGAUCCGCGCCGCAUUAGCUAGUUGGUAAGGUAACGGCUUACCAAGGCGACGAUGCGUAACCGACCUGAGAGGGAGAUCGGCCACACUGGAACUGAGACACGGUCCAGACUCCUACGGGAGGCAGCAGUAGGGAAUCUUCCGCAAUGGGGGAAAGCCUGACGGAGCAACGCCGCGUGAGUGAUGAAGGUCUUCGGCUCGUAAAACUCUGUUAUUAGGGAAGAACAAAUGUGUAAGUAACUAUGCACGUCUUGACGGUACCUAAUCAGAAAGCCACGGCUAACUACGUG